Molecule: ribosomal RNA, 1063 nt
Filed under: Tulasnella sp.
Lineage: Eukaryota; Fungi; Basidiomycota; Agaricomycetes; Cantharellales; Tulasnellaceae
Description: partial large subunit ribosomal RNA
Rfam family: Eukaryotic large subunit ribosomal RNA (bases 298-1063)
Source: RNAcentral
UGCAGUCCAAACUUAUACGUGAACCAUCGAAUCGUUGAACGCACUGCAUCGAGCCUUACCCAGGAACGAUACGCCCCAUUGAGCGUCAUUAUGUCUUCGUGACUGUCAUUUAUUUGGCCUGUCCGGGUUCGGGAUUCACAGCUUUGAUUAGCUGCGCUUCCUUAGAUACAUGGAUGCACUACAGCUGAAGGUGUCCUUGUCAUAAAUGUCGAGGUUUUCCAAAAGCUUAGAUGCAAGAUUGCUCUUSUGCAGAGCAAUCAAAUGCGACCACUUCAUUGCGGAAGCAGCUUCUAAACAUGACCUCACGGGGGUGGGAUGACCCGCUAGACUUAAGCAUAUUAAUCAGCGGAGGAAAAGAAACUAACAAGGAUUCCCCUAGUAACUGCGAGUGAAGAGGGAUUAGCUCAAUGUGUGAAUCAGGUUUGGAUUAGCUCCUUGUCUGAGUUGUGCACUAUAGACGGCGGAUUAUCCGAUGAAACUCGGUGCCAUUGAGGGUCAUAGUCCUGUACUUGCCUUGUUACCUCUUGCGCAUUUGACCGACGUUCUGCGAGUCGCGUAGUUUUGUAUUGCUGCGCUAAUGGGGAGGUAGAGCCCUUGUAAAGCUAAAUAUGAUGACGUGACCGAUACCACACAAGUACCGCGAGGGAAAGGUGAAAAGCAACCAUGCAGAAUGGGUUGAAACAGAAGUGAAAGCGCUAAUGGGAUAAGGGCUGGGAAUUCCUUGUGUCAUUUGCGCGUGCUUUAGUGCUGUGYUYGUGAACGGCGUGUUUCAGUUAGGAUGGGGAGAACAGGGCCUUGGGAAUUCGGCUGGAUCCGUCCAGUGUUGUAGCCCUGGUGCCAAUGGAGCCUCUUCUGACUGUUGAGUGUCUUGCGAUUGUCAGCCGCCCGUCUUGAAACACGGACCAAGGAGUGCACCUUGCAUGCAAGUCGAAGGGACUGUAAUCCUGGAGGCGUAGCGAAAGCGAAGGCCACGAAUCCGUAAGGUGUCGGUGGCACCCGCCUUGUGUGAGGUAGAGCAUGUAGGGUGCGACCCGAAAGAUGGUGAACUAUGCCCGGGUAAGGU